RNAcentral lists this ribosomal RNA (560 nucleotides) under Pleurostoma richardsiae. RNAcentral describes it as "partial large subunit ribosomal RNA". It matches the Rfam family "Eukaryotic large subunit ribosomal RNA", at positions 62 to 648 of the family's 3401-position model. Lineage: Eukaryota; Fungi; Ascomycota; Sordariomycetes; Calosphaeriales; Pleurostomataceae. The record is from RNAcentral.
AAACCAACAGGGAUUGCCCCAGUAACGGCGAGUGAAGCGGCAACAGCUCAAAUUUGAAAUCUGGCCUCGGCCCGAGUUGUAAUUUGCAGAGGAUGCUUCUGGCGCGGCGCCUUCCGAGUUCCCUGGAACGGGACGCCACAGAGGGUGAGAGCCCCGUAUGGUCGGACGCCAAGCCAGUGUGAAGCUCCUUCGAAGAGUCGAGUAGUUUGGGAAUGCUGCUCUAAGCGGGAGGUAUACGUCUUCUAAAGCUAAAUACCGGCCAGAGACCGAUAGCGCACAAGUAGAGUGAUCGAAAGAUGAAAAGCACCUUGAAAAGGGGGUUAAACAGUACGUGAAAUUGUUGAAAGGGAAGCGCCUGUGACCAGACUUGCGCCGGGCGGAUCAUCCAGCGUUCUCGCUGGUGCGCUCCGCCCGGCUCAGGCCAGCAUCGGUUCUGGCGGGGGGAUAAAGGCGGCGGGAACGUGGCUCCCCCGGGAGUGUUAUAGCCCGCCGUGCAAUGCCCCCGCCGGGACCGAGGUUCGCGCAUCUGCAAGGAUGCUGGCGUAAUGGUCACCAGCGAC